ACUAAGCAAAAAUCAUCAAAACCUUUAACCAUCAGAAUCGAUUCUCUCAACGAAAUCCCAAAAUUCGAUCGACAAAAACCUUAGGUCCGACAAUCAAAAAUUUCGCAACAACUCUAGCUUUUCAGUCGAGAACGGGAUCGGGAUGGGGACGGGGAGAGGGAUCAGUCGGGUAGGAGGAGGAUGAACGCCAGAGAUGAUAACUCAUAGGAGGAGGAGGGUGUGAAUGAUGAAGAAGAUGACGAUGAUGAUAGCUUAUGAAAGCAAUUGAACAUCUUAGUUAGUGGUGGCGUUGGCUCGGUUUGACCAAUUUCGUAUGCUUUCCUGCUAGUUGUCUAUUUGAAAUCUUGGGUGUUGUAUUCCAAUUUAUCAAAUUUGAUUGUUAUUGUUUAGCUCUUGAUUUAUUGGAUUUGUUUUCUCAUCUUUGCUCUCCAAUUUUACCUGGUCCUUUCGAAUUUGGGCUGGUAGGGGGUUACUCCCCAUGUUUGAUUUCCCAUUUUGUUUAUUAUUGAAAUCCAAUUUAUUGGGGGGUGUGGGGGGGAGGGGGGGGUUUCCCCUUUCAAAAUCCCAUGAUUUUCUAUGUUUUUCCGAUCUCGGGUUCGUAGAGACUAUUUGGGUUUGUUGGGAAGUUUUCCAUUAAUAAAUCUUUUUGUUAUGGUCAAUUGUUGAUGUUCUGGCUUGGUUGUGGAAAACGAACUUAUGCUCUUUUAAAUGAUCAAUGUUAUAAUUACUUUUUGGGUUCUGGCUUGGCUGUGGAAAAUGAACUUAUGCUCUUCUUGCUGACCAAUUUGUUCUGGCAUGUUUUUUGGGUUGGGAUUUUUCAGAUCUUGAUGUUUCCUUGUGUUGGGAGAUUUGGAUGUUGAUUCUUGUUCGGAUUGGUCUUGUCGGAAACUGGGUUAAGUCAUAUGGCUUCGAUCUUGCCGGAAACCGGGUUUAGUUUAGUUUAGUUUAGUUUAAUUGUUAAUUUAUUAAUAUAUGUUUGUUGUGUAAUUUUUAAAGUUAAGUUACUUGUGUAAUUAUUCAUAAUUAUGUUUUUUUUCUCUGUAAUUUGCUUAAUUCUUAAUGUUAAUUUUAUAUAUUUUAUAAUUUAUAUUAUUUGUGUAAUUUUUAAUAGUUUUAUUUGUUAUUUUACUUUUUU
RNAcentral lists this long non-coding RNA (1135 nucleotides) under Panax ginseng (ginseng). RNAcentral describes it as "long non-coding RNA (PGIN_LNC009858)". Lineage: Eukaryota; Viridiplantae; Streptophyta; Magnoliopsida; Apiales; Araliaceae. The record is from RNAcentral.